GCGCUCACUUCAGCAGCAAAUAUACUAAAAUAGGAACGAUACAGAGAAGAUUAGCAUGGCCCCUGCACUAUGAUGACACACAAAUUCGUGGAGCGUUCCAUAUUUUU
RNAcentral lists this small nuclear RNA (107 nucleotides) under Carlito syrichta (Philippine tarsier). The record is from RNAcentral. Lineage: Eukaryota; Metazoa; Chordata; Mammalia; Primates; Tarsiidae.